AGAGUUUGAUCAUGGCUCAGGAUUAACGCUGGCGGCAUGCCUAAUACAUGCAAAUCGAACGCAAUGUUUUACAUUGAGUGGUGAACGGGUGAGUAACACGUAUCCAAUCUACCUUUAAGUGGGGGAUAACUAGCCGAAAGGUUAGCUAAUACCGCAUGCACUAGUGAAAUCGCAUGAUUUUAUUAGUAAAGUUCCGUUUGGAACGCUUUUAGAUGAGGGUGCGGCGUAUCAGAUAGUUGGUGAGGUAACGGCCCACCAAGUCAAUGACGCGUAUCUGUGCUGAGAGGCAAAACAGACACAAUGGGACUGAGACACGGCCCAUACUCCUACGGGAGGCAGCAGUAGGGAAUUUUUCACAAUGGACGAAAGUCUGAUGGAGCAAUGCCGCGUGAAUGAUGAAGGUCUUACAGAUUGUAAAAUUCUUUUAUUUGGAACGAACAGCCUAAAUAGGAAAUGAUUUAGGUCUGACGGUACCAUUUGAAUAAGUAUCGGCUAACUAUGUGCCAGCAGCCGCGGUAAUACAUAGGAUGCAAGCGUUAUCCGGAUUUACUGGGCGUAAAACGAGCGCAGGCGGAUAAGCAAGUCUGGCAUGAAAUACGGUUGCUUAACAAUCGUAUGUGUUAGAAACUGCUUGUCUAGAGUGUGGUAGGGAGUUUUGGAAUUCCAUGUGAAGCGGUGAAAUGCGUAGAUAUAUGGAAGAACACCAGUGGCGAAGGCGAAAACUUAGGCCAUAACUGACGCUUAGGCUCGAAAGUGUGGGGAGCAAAUAGGAUUAGAUACCCUGGUAGU
RNAcentral lists this ribosomal RNA (789 nucleotides) under uncultured bacterium. Its description in RNAcentral is "bacterial SSU rRNA". It matches the Rfam family "Bacterial small subunit ribosomal RNA", at positions 8 to 794 of the family's 1533-position model. The record is from RNAcentral.